GAUGAACGCUGGCGGCGUGCCUAAUACAUGCAAGUCGAGCGAACAGACGAGGAGCUUGCUCCUCUGACGUUAGCGGCGGACGGGUGAGUAACACGUGGAUAACCUACCUAUAAGACUGGGAUAACUUCGGGAAACCGGAGCUAAUACCGGAUAAUAUAUUGAACCGCAUGGUUCAAUAGUGAAAGACGGUUUUGCUGUCACUUAUAGAUGGAUCCGCGCCGCAUUAGCUAGUUGGUAAGGUAACGGCUUACCAAGGCAACGAUGCGUAGCCGACCUGAGAGGGUGAUCGGCCACACUGGAACUGAGACACGGUCCAGACUCCUACGGGAUGCAGCAGUAGGGAAUCUUCCGCAAUGGGCGAAAGCUUGACGGAGCAACGCCGCGUGAGUGAUGAAGGUCUUCGGAUCGUAAAACUCUGUUAUUAGGGAAGAACAAAUGUGUAAGUAACUAUGCACGUCUUGACGGUACCUAAUCAGAAAGCCACGGCUAACUACGUG
Molecule: ribosomal RNA, 497 nt
Filed under: uncultured bacterium
Lineage: Bacteria
Description: partial 16S ribosomal RNA
Rfam family: Bacterial small subunit ribosomal RNA
Source: RNAcentral